CAAAAGUCUUUAGUGAAAGCGAAAUUUGGCCAGAUGGGUAUAAUGAUGGGGGGUAGUGGUUUGUAUUCCAGAAGCCAGGGAGGUUGAAAGUUAGAGCAUUCAUUAGAAAGAUAGUAUUCUCAGUGAAACUCUCCCCUUGGAUAGGUUGGAAGCUGACGGCAUUUUAAGGAGAGGGGAUUGGAGCAGAUCCCUACUCAUUCAUCCACAAAUGGCUAGAAUUUAAAGGACUUCUUGAAGCUCUAGUCAGAAGGAGGGGAGGGAGGAUGGAGGCUAUACCGUAUCCUACUUACUCCUGAGACCUUUUUAACAGUCACACUCCGAAUCUCUACUCGGAGGGAUACCUCUUGGUGAAUUUUCUUUUUGAUGGAGAAAUAAAAGAAGUGGGGAACCUUCUGCUGAGAAGCUCUGAGCAGCCAGCAGUCACUGGAAACCUGAGGACGAUUGUUGCUGUCUGAGAAGCAGGCAACCACCACAAUGCUCAAGAACAAAGUAAAAUAAACAAAACAGGAAACUGGGCCGUAUGUAAAGGAACCAGAUGGGAAUUUGCCAAAUGGCCCCUAAUGGGAAACCUACAGAAGUCAGAACUGUUUUCAGGAGAGCUUACAAAGUGAGAGGCUGGUUUUGGACAAAUAUGGAGGCCUGAAGAUUACAUCUGUGUUACCUAAUGUGAAAGCUGGAACAGGCCUUAGAGAUCAUCUGGUUCAACCACUUUAUUUUACAGAUUAGAAAAUUGAGACCUAGAGAGGGAAAGUGACUUGUUGAAAGUCACAUAGCUAGAAAGUGAUAGAGUCUGAACUCAAACCCAGUGCUUAUGAUUCCAAAUUCUAUGAGUCCCAUCUCAGCUCUCUCAUUGGCUAGCUACGGAACUUUCAGCAACUCCCUUCUCCUUUCUGGGCCUCAGUUUCCUCAUUUGUGAAAUAAGAGAGGCAAACCAGGUGAUCUCCAAGGUUCCUUUGAGUUGUAACUAACCAUGGCUCUAUAACUAUGGGGAAUGGAAGGAAGAAGGAAACAAACAUUUGUCAAGCUUAUCUGUUAAAUGCCAGAUAUGUUCUGUCUACCAAUGAAUACCACAAUGAAAAAAUGUACAAGCAAAGCCUCAAAGAAAAUGCAGAUUACACAUAAACCCAACAAGAAUUCCUAGAAGAGCUAAAGAAAGAGAUUUUAAAAAGACAGCAAAACAACAAAAAAAAUUUAAAUCAAAUAAGAGUUGCAGAGGAGAAAUUGGGAAAAGAUAUGAGAACAAUAUAAGAAAAUUAUGAAAAGAGUACUAAUGGAUUGGUAAUAGAAACAAAAAAUAUUGAAGAAAA
This is a long non-coding RNA of Dromiciops gliroides (monito del monte), 1307 nucleotides long. RefSeq lists it as uncharacterized. The record is from RefSeq and is a predicted model, not a curated record. NCBI's taxonomy places the organism in Eukaryota, Metazoa, Chordata, Mammalia, Microbiotheria, Microbiotheriidae. The transcript has 3 exons.